This 412-nucleotide ribosomal RNA is filed under the name Euseius nicholsi. RNAcentral describes it as "partial 12S ribosomal RNA". Lineage: Eukaryota; Metazoa; Arthropoda; Arachnida; Mesostigmata; Phytoseiidae. The record is from RNAcentral.
AAACUAGGAUUAGAUACCCUAUUAGUUAAAUAAAAAUUUAGUAGUAGCUGAAUUUCAUGAAACUAAAAUUAAUUGGCGGCUUUUUAAAUUUUUUAGAGGAAUUUAUUCUGUAAAGGAUUAAACACCUAAAUCUUACUUAUAUUUGUUAAUUCAGUUUGUAUACCGCUAUUUUUUUAUACAAAAAUGUAUUUUUUAAUAUUUAUUUUUAUGACUAAAUUUUAGGUUAGGUGCAGCUUAUGUGUAAGGUUGAAAUAAAUUAUAUAAAUUUUUAUUUAACAAUACUUUUUAAUUAUUUUUUAAGGGUAUAGAAGAAUUUAAAAGUAAAAUUAAUAUAAUAGGUUAAUUUGAAUAAUUGUUUGAUUGUGUACAUAUUGCCCGUCACUCUCUUUUGGAGAUAAGUCGUAACAUAGUA